Non-coding RNA from Cherax quadricarinatus, 967 nucleotides. NCBI's taxonomy places the organism in Eukaryota, Metazoa, Arthropoda, Malacostraca, Decapoda, Parastacidae. The record is from RefSeq and is a predicted model, not a curated record.
AAUCCUUCCUUCAUAUAAUCUUCUAAAUGUAAAAAUUAAAAAAGUCCUCCUUAUUCAAAAAGGAAAAUUUAAAGAUUAAUUUUCAUUCUUAACUUUAUUAAUUUUAGCUGUUCAAAAGUCUGUUUAAGAAGCAACUCGCAACACCACAUAAAGUGAGGACACAUUUAGUGAGAUUUUUUUCUUACACUGCUUCAUGUUGUAAACCAUUCCUUAUUUUUUGUUCCGAAUUCGCGCCCCUUUCUCCCUGCCCCCUAGAAAUUACUAACGCCCCAAUAGGGAAACGAGUUUCAACCCCAUCCACCUCCCAGUUAAGAACUGCUGCACUAGCAAUAUCUCAAUGCCCUCUACAGUCAACCGCCAUCAACACAACCACUUUCACUUUUGCCAACGCUACCAGCAGAAAGCCUCUCCUAGCGUUCCUAGAUGACACUGUAGGACCACUAACAGGUCUCUCAUAACUUCCUCAGAUGGUACUGCAGCACCACCAGCAGGAGGCUUCAUUUAGUCCCCCAGAUGGCCCUGUAGCACCACCAGCAGGAAGCCUCUCCUAGCACCCUCAGAUGGUACUGUAGCACCACUAAUAGGUCUCUCCUAGCACCCCAAGAUGGAUCUGUAUCACCACCAGCAGGUCUCUCCAAGCACCACCAGAUGGCUCUGUAGCACCACUAGCAGGUCUUUUCUAGCACCAUCAGAUGGUUUUGCAGGGCCAUCAGCAGGUCUCUCCUAGCACCUCCAGAUGCCACUGUAGCACAAGCAGCAGGUCUCUCCUAGCACCCCCAGACGGCAUUAUAGCACCACCAUGUCUCUCCUAGCACCUCCGGGUAGCUCUGUAGCACCUCCAGUGAAAGGCCUCAUUUAGUCUCCCAGAUGGUAUUGCAGCAGCACAAGCAGGUUUAACCUAACACCCCGCAAGUGGUAUUGCAGCACCACUACCUAGAACCUUCACUUAGCACCACCACCAACAAGA